GCCAGGCAUGGUGGUGCAUGCCUGUAGUCCCAGCUACUAGGGAGGCUGAGGCACAAGAAUCGCUUGAGCCCGGGAGAUGGAGGUUGCAGUGAACCAAGAUUACGCCACUGCACUUCAGCCUGGGUGACAGAGUGAGACUGGGUCUCUC
Molecule: unclassified non-coding RNA, 148 nt
Organism: Macaca fascicularis (crab-eating macaque)
Lineage: Eukaryota; Metazoa; Chordata; Mammalia; Primates; Cercopithecidae
Rfam family: Metazoan signal recognition particle RNA
About the family: The signal recognition particle (SRP) is a universally conserved ribonucleoprotein.
Source: Ensembl